This 254-nucleotide ribosomal RNA is filed under the name uncultured bacterium. Its description in RNAcentral is "partial 16S ribosomal RNA". It matches the Rfam family "Bacterial small subunit ribosomal RNA", at positions 524 to 776 of the family's 1533-position model. The record is from RNAcentral.
UACAGAGGCCUCAAGCGUUACCCGGAAUUACUGGGCGUAAAGGGUGUGUAGGCGGUAGUGUUAGUCGGCUGUUAAAUAUCCAGGGCUUAACCUUGGAAACCCGGUCGAAACGGCACUACUAGAGGAUGCGAGAGGUGAAUGGAACUCAUGGUGUAGGGGUGAAAUCCGUUGAUAUCAUGGGGAACACCAAAAGCGAAGGCAAUUCACUGGCGCACUCCUGACGCUCAAACACGAAAGCGUGGGUAGCGAACGGG